AGAUGUGAGGGUGAUCUGGCUGUGACAUCUGUCGCCCCAUUGAACACAAGUGUUGAUUCGGCUGAUCUGGCUGGCUAAGUGGGUAUCCCCUUCCUCCCUCACCGCUCCAUGUGCGUCCCUCCCAAAACUGCAUGCUCAGUCAAAGAGGAUGACCAUCCCUGAUAGAGGAGGACCGUUCUUCGGUCAAGGGUAUACAAGUAGCAGCACUCCCCUGCUAGAACCUCCAAACAAGCUCUCAAGAGCAGAGUUGCACAGCACCAAGUGGAGUGAUGGGAAGAAGGGUUGAAAACUACACUCCUCAAAAAAUAAUUCAAUAUAGGAUUCAGU
This 327-nucleotide small nuclear RNA is filed under the name Castor canadensis (American beaver). RNAcentral's name for it is "7SK RNA (ENSCCNG00000014391.1)". It matches the Rfam family "7SK RNA". From Rfam's summary of the family: 7SK was discovered as an abundant small nuclear RNA in the mid-70s but a possible function has only recently been suggested. Two independent studies have found that 7SK RNA binds the CDK9/cyclin T complex (known as elongation factor P-TEFb). P-TEFb activates transcription by phosphorylating the C-terminal domain of RNA polymerase II. The record is from Rfam by way of RNAcentral. Lineage: Eukaryota; Metazoa; Chordata; Mammalia; Rodentia; Castoridae.